This 430-nucleotide ribosomal RNA is filed under the name uncultured bacterium. RNAcentral's name for it is "bacterial SSU rRNA". It matches the Rfam family "Bacterial small subunit ribosomal RNA", at positions 349 to 793 of the family's 1533-position model. The record is from RNAcentral.
CAGCAGUGGGGAAUAUUGCACAAUGGGCGCAAGCCUGAUGCAGCAACGCCGCGUGAGCGAUGAAGGCCUUCGGGUCGUAAAGCUCUGUCCUCAAGGAAGAAUAAAUGACGGUACUUGAGGAGGAAGCCCCGGCUAACUACGUGCCAGCAGCCGCGGUAAUACGUAGGGGGCAAGCGUUAUCCGGAAAUCACUGGGCGUAAAGGGUGCGUAGGCGGUUUUUCAAGUCAGAAGUGAAAAGGCUAUGGCUCAACCAUAGUAAGCUUUUGAAACUGUUAAACUUGAGUGCAGGAGAGGAAAGUGGAAUUCCUAGUGUAGAGGUGAAAUUCGUAGAUAUUAGGAGGAACACCAGUGGCGAAGGCGACUUUCUGGACUGUAACUGACGCUGAGGCACGAAAGCGUGGGGAGCGAACAGGAUUAGAUACCCUGGUAG